UGCUAUGGCCAUGCCACCCUGAAUGUCCCCGAUCCCGUCUGAUCUUGGAAGCUAAGUAGGGUCGGGCCUGAUUAGUACUUGGAUGGGAGACCACCUAGGAAUUAAAGGUGCUGUAGAUA
Molecule: ribosomal RNA, 119 nt
Filed under: Pteropus alecto (black flying fox)
Lineage: Eukaryota; Metazoa; Chordata; Mammalia; Chiroptera; Pteropodidae
Also listed under: 1 other name
Source: RNAcentral